AAUAAUUUUCUAGGAAUAAUAAAUCCGCACAAAUCCUUGAAAGAAGCCUUGAUUAUAAUCGAGGACAUUUCAAUUUUUUACUCCACGGUUUACGAGACGAAAAAAUAGGUUUUUAAAGCACCCUAGAUUUCGUUCAUCAGAGCAGACUUAUCCUAGGAAACUGAUGGGAUUAGAGAACAUCAACACCAUAACAUUAUAAGGCAAAUCAAACACCAAGCAGCUUACCUUAGGUAGGGCGUACUAGGGGUGCUAAAACCUUCCCUUUACGCAACCAGUCCCUUGCCUUAGAAUCUCUGAAAGACCAGUUAGGUUUCCUAGUGACCAUAAUACUA
Molecule: long non-coding RNA, 332 nt
Filed under: Populus trichocarpa (black cottonwood)
Lineage: Eukaryota; Viridiplantae; Streptophyta; Magnoliopsida; Malpighiales; Salicaceae
Description: long non-coding RNA (PTRI_LNC004465)
Source: RNAcentral